RNAcentral lists this transfer RNA (86 nucleotides) under Podarcis lilfordi (Lilford's wall lizard). RNAcentral's name for it is "tRNA.Leu". Lineage: Eukaryota; Metazoa; Chordata; Lepidosauria; Squamata; Lacertidae. The record is from RNAcentral.
GUCCUGAUAGGGCAGUGGGUAGUCCGGCUGGUUAGAGCACGGUGCUGAGAACGCCAAGGUUGCAGGUUCGAUCCCCGUAUGGGACA